RNAcentral lists this ribosomal RNA (460 nucleotides) under uncultured bacterium. Its description in RNAcentral is "partial 16S ribosomal RNA". It matches the Rfam family "Bacterial small subunit ribosomal RNA", at positions 338 to 795 of the family's 1533-position model. The record is from RNAcentral.
CCUACGGGGGGCUGCAGUGAGGAAUAUUGGUCAAUGGACGCAAGUCUGAACCAGCCAUGCCGCGUGCAGGAAGACGGCUCUAUGAGUUGUAAACUGCUUUUGUACGAGGGUAAACGCAGAUACGCGUAUCUGUCUGAAAGUAUCGUACGAAUAAGGAUCGGCUAACUCCGUGCCAGCAGCCGCGGUAAUACGGAGGAUUCAAGCGUUAUCCGGAUUUAUUGGGUUUAAAGGGUGCGUAGGCGGUCGGAUAAGUUAGAGGUGAAAUCCCGAGGCUCAACUUCGGAAUUGCCUCUGAUACUGUUCGUCUAGAGUGUAGUUGCGGUAGGCGGAAUGUAUGGUGUAGCGGUGAAAUGCUUAGAGAUCAUACAGAACACCGAUUGCGAAGGCAGCUUACCAAGCUACUUCUGACGUUGAGGCACGAAAGCGUGGGGAGCAAACAGGAUUAGAUACCCGGGUAGUC